AUACUCUGGUUUCUCUUCAGAUCGUAUAAAUCUUUCGCCUUUUACUAAAGAUUUCCGUGGAGAGGAACAAUUCUGAGUCUUUAACCAAUUUUUUGAGGCCUUACCUUCUGGUGAGGCU
Small nuclear RNA from Ochotona curzoniae (black-lipped pika), 118 nucleotides. RefSeq annotates it as U5 spliceosomal RNA. The transcript has a single exon. Lineage: Eukaryota; Metazoa; Chordata; Mammalia; Lagomorpha; Ochotonidae. The record is from RefSeq and is a predicted model, not a curated record.